UACGUAGGUGGCAAGCGAUACUCGGAAUCACUAGGCGUAAAGCGCAGGUAGGCGGUGCGAUAAGUCUCUUGUGAAAGCUCCCGGCUUAACUGGGAGAGGUCAAGGGAAAUUGUCGUGCUCGAGUAUGGCAGAGGAAACUAGAAUUCCCGGUGUAGCGGUGAAAUGCGUAGAGUAUCGGGAGGAACACCGGUGGCGAAGGCGGUUCUCUGGGCCUGUACUGGACGGCUGAGGAGCGAAAGCGUGGGGAGCGAACAGG
Molecule: ribosomal RNA, 256 nt
Filed under: uncultured bacterium
Lineage: Bacteria
Description: partial 16S ribosomal RNA
Rfam family: Bacterial small subunit ribosomal RNA
Source: RNAcentral